AACGGAUAAGGGGGUUGGAAGCUGAUUCUGAGCUGGGUGAUUGUGAGGAUGCGGUGCCAUCAUUCUCUAAGUAGACUGUAAGCCCCUUUAGGGCAUGGAUUCUACCUGCCUCUGUUCUCCUUGGCCCAGUCCUCACUGCUCAGAGGCACAGAGUAGCCAUGGUGUGGACCCCUGAUGUCCUCAAGAAAUGCAUCUUGACCCAGGGAUGUAAUAUACAACAUGAUGACUAUGGAAUAUCCUGGGAUCUUCUUAUCUGUCAGCAGCCAAGGUGUUUGCAGGAGAUUCAGAGAAAAUAGGUCAGUGUUAGUCUGGGUCCGUUGUGUGGUGGGGCCUCUGAAAGUCUGAGUGUUCCGAAUUGUCUGAAGUCAGAGUCUCUCUUGCCCUUUGACUGUUGGGUGUGGAACGAUGGUAGAAUGGGAUGCUGAUGUUUUCUAGAUGUCUCUGUGCCUUAGCUGUUGACUUUGAAUUGAAAAGCUCCUUAAAUUGGGCUUUGGGGGUCAGGAGAGAGUUACUCCUUCCUCACUGUUUCUGGUUGACGGCUGGCAGUAUUCUUAAUUUCUUUCUUGGCCACCCUGAUUGUCCAGGAGGAAGCCGAGGGAAGCAGCAGAAGCCUGUAACUUCCUGCUUCCUGUCUCCUCCCAGCGGCUUGGGAGCCAGGGCCCUCCCACCAGCCGGCCAGAGAAAACUCUGUAGGAAUCUGGCCAGUCCUACCUGCCUCUGUUCCUCUAUACUGGGGCUGCAGGAAUGCCCCCCACUCCGGCCCCCUGCCAGGACCCUCACCAGGGCCUGGCGGCUCCUCCAGGCCCCUGGGGUUUGGCUGAUAGCUUCUUUGUUCCUGGUACUUGUGCUCCGAGGCCCCUGUGGAGCUGGAGGCAGGCAGAAGCUACUUAGGCAGCCGGCAUGGAUGGUG
Long non-coding RNA from Equus asinus (donkey), 910 nucleotides. The record is from Ensembl. NCBI's taxonomy places the organism in Eukaryota, Metazoa, Chordata, Mammalia, Perissodactyla, Equidae.